CCUCUGCUGGAAUUCAUGACCUAAAUGGGUAUGCCUUUAUUUAUUUAUUGCCAAUUUGAGUAAUCUCUACACCCAACACAGGGCUCGAAUUCACAACCCUGAGAUCAAGAGUUGAACAUUCUUCUGUCUGAGCCAGUUGGAAGAAACCUACGAAAACGGUUGCUUUGUGGGCAAGCUACAAUUAUUCUAAUGGAUUGCAACAUCUCCAUUAUAUAAAUGCAAGCAGAGACUGGAGCCCAAGUCUCCUGAUCCCCAGGGUUUCUUUCGCUUACCAUGUUACCUCCCGUUUUACUUAAAGCACUAAAAGUUCAACCACUUACCUUAGCUUGUAACUUUUGUCACGUUAAAUCAACUCCGAUUUUUAAUCAAUCUUAAUUUCCCUCCUAAUUAUAACAUGCUGAAUUUUA
Suricata suricatta (meerkat) is the source of this 407-nucleotide long non-coding RNA. RefSeq lists it as uncharacterized. NCBI's taxonomy places the organism in Eukaryota, Metazoa, Chordata, Mammalia, Carnivora, Herpestidae. The transcript is spliced from 2 exons. The record is from RefSeq and is a predicted model, not a curated record.